UUUUUAGCAGCUCAGCGGUUGAGCGGACGGCUGUCAACCGUUAGGUACUCGGGUUCAAAUCCCUCCCUAUAGAG
Non-coding RNA from Coccomyxa sp. Obi, 74 nucleotides. The record is from the annotation of a GenBank genome assembly. NCBI's taxonomy places the organism in Eukaryota, Viridiplantae, Chlorophyta, Trebouxiophyceae, Coccomyxaceae.